AAAUCGGUCCUUUUUAGGACCACAAUAUUUCUAUAAACGUAAUA
Molecule: non-coding RNA, 44 nt
Organism: Trichomalopsis sarcophagae
Lineage: Eukaryota; Metazoa; Arthropoda; Insecta; Hymenoptera; Pteromalidae
Source: Rfam